CCCUUAGACGUUCUGGGCCGCACGCGCGCUACACUGACCAGUGCAACAAGCAUCCGUCCUUGGCCGACAGGCUCGGGCAAUCUUUGAACGCUGUUCGUGAUUGGGAUAGACCUUUGCAAUUAUGGGUCUUCAACGAGGAAUUCCUAGUAAACGCAAGUCAUCAGCUUGCAUUGAUUACGUCCCUGCCCUUUGUACACACCGCCCGUCGCACCUACCGAUUGAAUGGUCCGGUGAAAUCUCGGGACGGCGGCUUGGUCGCUUGCGUCCGACUGCUGAAACUUGAUUAAACCAUAUCAUUUAGAGGAAGGUGAANUCGUAACA
Molecule: ribosomal RNA, 321 nt
Filed under: uncultured eukaryote
Lineage: Eukaryota
Description: partial 18S ribosomal RNA
Rfam family: Eukaryotic small subunit ribosomal RNA
Source: RNAcentral